AUGUAUGAUACUCGUACUUUAGGAGAGGAGCAAGAGUCUGAAGAUGACUUGGACGAUGAUGCUGAAGCAUACUAUAGAUUAGUUAAUGAUGGACGCCAAGAGUUGUACCCAGGUUGCAAAAGAUUCUCGAAGCUGCAAUUUUUGGUGAGGUUGCUUCACAUCAAGAAUAUGAGGGGAGUGGGCAAUGUCUGCUUUGAUGAGGUAUUGACGCUAAUUAAGGAGGUACUUCCAGAAGGUGAGGCCUUGCCCAAAAAAUUUCAUGGGGCCAAAAAGUUUGUGAGAGCCAUUGGUAUUGGUUAUGAUAGUAUAGAUGCAUGCAAAAAUGAUUGCAUUCUAUUUAGGAAGGAACAUGCUGAUGCCAUAUCAUGUCCAGUGUGUGGCACAAGUAGAUGGAAGAGCGUAAAUACUGGAGUUGAUGGAAGGCGUGUCCACAAGGUGCCUCAAAAGGUGGUUCGUCAUUUCCCGCUAAAGAAGAGACUCCAAAGGUUGUUCGCUUCUACAAAGACGGCAUCAGAUAUGAGGUGGCACAACGAAGGCCGCACAAAGGACGGCAAGAUACGACACCCAGCUGAUUCACCUGCAUGGAAACACUUUGAUGCUAUUCACAAAGACUUCAGUUCAGAAGUUUGCAACGUUAGAUUUGGAUUGGGAGCUGAUGGUUUCAACCCUUUUGGAAAUAUGAAUCUCUCAUAUAGCAUAUGGCCUAUCAUCUUGAUCCCCUACAACCUUCCUCCAUGGAUUUGUAUGAAGCAAUCAAACUUUAUCCUCUCUAUCAUCAUUCCUGGUAAAAAAUCUCCAGGGAAAGACAUGGAUGUUAGCUAA
Molecule: ribosomal RNA, 822 nt
Filed under: Triticum aestivum (bread wheat)
Lineage: Eukaryota; Viridiplantae; Streptophyta; Magnoliopsida; Poales; Poaceae
Description: partial small subunit ribosomal RNA
Source: RNAcentral